This 497-nucleotide ribosomal RNA is filed under the name uncultured bacterium. RNAcentral's name for it is "partial 16S ribosomal RNA". It matches the Rfam family "Bacterial small subunit ribosomal RNA", at positions 28 to 507 of the family's 1533-position model. The record is from RNAcentral.
GAUGAACGCUGGCGGCGUGCCUAAUACAUGCAAGUCGAGCGAACGGACGAGAAGCUUGCUUUUCUGAUGUUAGCGGCGGACGGGUGAGUAACACGUGGACAACCUACCUAUAAGACUGGGAUAACUUCGGGAAACCGGAGCUAAUACCGGAUAAUAUUUUGAACCGCAUGGUUCAAAAGUGAAAGACGGUCUUGCUGUCACUUAUAGAUGGAUCCGCGCUGCAUUAGCUAGUUGGUAAGGUAACGGCUUACCAAGGCAACGAUGCAUAGCCGACCUGAGAGGGUGAUCGGCCACACUGGAACUGAGACACGGUCCAGACUCCUACGGGAGGCAGCAGUAGGGAAUCUUCCGCAAUGGGCGAAAGCCUGACGGAGCAACGCCGCGUGAGUGAUGAAGGUCUUCGGAUCGUAAAACUCUGUUAUUAGGGAAGAACAUAUGUGUAAGUAACUGUGCACAUCUUGACGGUACCUAGUCAGAAAGCCACGGCUAACUACGUG